CCAGACCAACUUUCUCGCCCCCUCGCUCUCUGUCGGCAGAGGUCCUGCGCCUCUUGGAAAGGGAGCUGCGCUCUGCCCCUCAGCCCCUCUGAGCAUUUCCACCAUGGCCUGGCAAGAACCUGCUCGUACAGAAGUGUCACGUCCCCCUUUGGCAAGUUUGUGUCUCCUCAGCAGGGCACCAGACAAGGGAGAAUCCAGGCCCCAAAGGUUUUCACACUUUUUACUUUAUUUUUUCCUCAGUAUAGUUGCAUCCAGUCCGAUGGAGUCAAACCUCUCUCUGAGUGUUAAAGAUCUGUCUCAGUAUAACAAGAACAAAUGGAGCUCAAAUAAAGUAAAAUAAACUCCAAACAUAAAGUUACGUAACAAAAAU
Molecule: long non-coding RNA, 370 nt
Organism: Nothoprocta perdicaria
Lineage: Eukaryota; Metazoa; Chordata; Aves; Tinamiformes; Tinamidae
Exons: 2
Source: RefSeq, a predicted model, not a curated record